This is an RNA transcript of Rhinopithecus roxellana (golden snub-nosed monkey), 2138 nucleotides long. It is a transcript of the gene named HLA class I histocompatibility antigen, A-25 alpha chain pseudogene, with no coding region annotated. The transcript has a single exon. The record is from RefSeq and is a predicted model, not a curated record. Lineage: Eukaryota; Metazoa; Chordata; Mammalia; Primates; Cercopithecidae.
AAUAAAAUCUUAACUUGUCAGUGUUUUACAUUUUAUAACUUUCUGUGAUGCAAUUAAUACACUCACAUUUCAUUUAUUCAGUCAAUAAAAAUUAAUUUAGUGCCUAAGAUGAACUAGGUAUGCCCUCAUAUGCUCAUGUACCUGACAUUCUAGAAGCUUCACAAGACCGAGGUGGAGCCACUGGAGUGUUUUACAUGAGGAAAUGACACACUCUGACUCACAGUAGCAGGACCACCGUGGAGAGAACAGUCAAGUAGCAGGUAAUGGGACAGUGCUAGAGCCACAAUUUAGGAGUGACAGGGUGGUGGGGACUAAGGGGAGAGGAGGGUAUGAGGGAUGAAAGGGACAGAGGGAAGGGCUGGAGAAGCAAGAGGUUAGGAAAAGGAGCAGAGGGAAGGGAUUGGAAAGCAGUAGAAUUCUUACGUUUAAACAUACUGUUUUAUAGAUUUUUAAUACAUCCAUCGACAGAGAUUGCUGGGUGUUCUUUGCAGUUGGCCUUUAAUACCUAACGUAGGACUGCCUAAAACUAAUGUUUUUUAUGUUAAUAAGGUUUAAAAAAUACUUGAUGUUCCUUCUUUGCAGUUGGCCUUUAAUACGGUAUUUGGGACUGCCUAGAAACAAAUUUUUUUUGUUUUUUUUAUUAAUCAGGUUUUAAAAAUACUAAGUGUUCCUAUAAGAUAUACAUACCACUUAGAUGUGAAUACUUCCUAAAAACAGGCAGUGCAUGAGCACAGGUGAGCGGGACUGUGACUGCAUUGAACACUUGAACUGUGAGGUGAAUAGUCUGUACCGGCUCCUGGUUGUAACAUACAGUAACACAGUGUGUUUCUUUGUAUUGAGGCAAUGUCUUAGACUCACCCAGUAACUCAGGGCUAUGGAAUGAAGGUAAAUGUAAAAUACAACAAGCAGGAGUCACAGAUACAUUGUCUGGGAAAGAGAAACUUAGGAACUUUGUGAGUCCUGUUGUAACACUUUUAGACAUAUUUAUAUAUCAAGGGGCCAAAGUCACAUUUUUUACCGAUUAGAUUCCUGAUCAUUCAGGGGUUACCAAGAUUCUGCUACUCACUGUAGUUAAUAAACAAAGAGCAAACUGGUCUCUAUUCUAUCUCAUGCACUCAGGCACAACUUUUCCGGGUUUAAAGAAAAAAAAAAAACUGUCUCUACACCUCUAUCCCCAGGAGGAGCUCACUCUCUGGCGCCAAGUUCCCUGGGGUGGUUUUCUUCUAGAAGAGUCCAGGGGGACAGGUAAGGAGUGGGAGGCAGGGAGCCCAAUUCUGGGAUGGGGAUUCCGGGAUGAAAAGUGAAGAGGGAUGGAGCCCAUGACGAGGGUUUCUCCCUGGUUUCUCAGACGGUUCUUGGGCCAAGACUGAGGGAGACAUUGAGACAGAGGCUUGGCACAAGAGGAGCGCGGUCAGGGCGAAGUCCAUGGCCCCAGGCGUGGCUCUCAGGGUCUCAGGCUCCAAAGGCUGAGUAUUGAUUGGAGAGGCCCAGUGUUGGGGAUUCCCCAUCUCCACAGCGUUUCUCUUCUCCCUCUCCCAACCUAUGUAGGGUCCUUCUUCCUGGAUUCCCUGUUCUGAAGUCCCCGCGAACCCACUGGGACUCAGAUUCUCCCCAGACCCCAAGGAUGGGGUCAUGGCGUCCCGAACCCUCCUCCUACUGCUCUCGGGGACCCUGGCCCUGACCGAGACCUGGGAGGGUGAGUGCGGGAUCCAGAGGGAAAUGGCCUCUGCGAAGAGGAGCGAGGGGCCCGCGCAGCUGGGGCGCAGGACCCGGGAAGCCGCGCCAGGAGGAGGGUCGGGCGGGUCUCAGCCCCUCCGCGCCCCCAGGCUCCCACUCCAUGAGGUAUUUCAGCACCGCCGUGUCCCGGCCCGGCCGCGGGGAGACCGGCUUCAUCGCCGUGAGCUACGUGGACGACACGCAGUUCCUGCGGUUCGACAGCGACGCGGCGAGUCCGAGGAUGGAGCCGCGGGCGCCGUGGAUGGAGCAGGAGGGGCCGGAGUAUUGGGACCGGAGCACACGGAACAUCAAGGCCCACGCACAGACUGGCAGAGUGAGCCUGCGGACCCGGCUCCGCUACUACAACCAGAGCGAGGCCCGUGAGUGACCCCGGCUCCAAGCACAGGUCACGAUCCCUCCCC